GACAGAGGGUGCAAGCGUUAAUCGGAAUUAUUGGGCGUAAAGCGCGCGUAGGUGGAUUAAUAAGUUGGAUGUGAAAUCCCUGGGCUUAACCUGGGAAUUGCAUCCAAAACUGUUAUUCUAGAGUACAGUAGAGGGAAGUGGAAUUUCUGGUGUAGCGGUGAAAUGCGUAGAUAUCAGAAAGAACAUCAGUGGCGAAGGCGACUUCCUGGACUGAUACUGACACUGAGGUGCGAAAGCGUGGGGAGCAAACAGG
Molecule: ribosomal RNA, 253 nt
Filed under: uncultured bacterium
Lineage: Bacteria
Description: partial 16S ribosomal RNA
Rfam family: Bacterial small subunit ribosomal RNA
Source: RNAcentral